Molecule: RNA transcript, 4208 nt
Organism: Megalops cyprinoides (Indo-Pacific tarpon)
Lineage: Eukaryota; Metazoa; Chordata; Actinopteri; Elopiformes; Megalopidae
Gene name: disabled homolog 2-like
Exons: 15
Source: RefSeq, a predicted model, not a curated record
GGAAAGGGAUGGUGACGAAUGAUCACUUGUGCUCCUUUUUGUGCCUUUCUUUGGCUCCUUUGGCAUUUUAUAAAUGUUUUGUUAAAUGUGUAAGCUCAUUGUCGGGAGUGAAACGAGUUUUUCCAGGGGAAAAUGUGAGCCCCGUUCUGGGUUCAGUCGCAGUUUUCCGUGUUAUCCUGGGUCCACGCACAUGGACGAUCGAUGCGAACGGUAACAGAGAUGAGCAGCGGAGCAGAUGUGAGGCUGGCCAGCCUUUAAAGCCAUGCGGUUGGAGUCCGCGGCCCAGUGGAGUAUGUGUGCUUGCUGAAAGGAGCUGCUGAGAACACACCGCCACCAAGCCGCUUUCCCGUUCGGAUCUUCCCCCCCUCCCACUCCCCGCGACCCCGCCAGGCGGGCCUCCCACCCCGUCAUGUCGGCAGAAGUGGAGACCAGCACAAGCAGCGGGGCUGAGACAGCCCCCGUCAAGACCCCCUCCAAGAAGGAGAAGAAGAAAGGCCCAGAGAAGACCGAUGAGUUCCUGCUGGCCAGGUUCAAAGGUGAUGGAGUGCGGUAUAAAGCCAAACUGAUUGGUGUGGAUGAUGUUCCUGAAGCCAGAGGCGACAAAAUGAGCCAGGACUCCAUGAUGAAACUUAAGGGCAUGGCAGUAGCAGCACGCUCCCAGGGAAAGCACAAACAGAGAAUCUGGGUCAACAUAUCCUUAUCUGGGAUCAAAAUUAUUGACGAGAAAACCGGAGUAAUAGAGCACGAACAUGCUGUGAACAAGAUCUCCUUCAUUGCUCGGGAUGUGACAGACAACCGGGCGUUUGGCUACGUUUGCGGCGCCGAGGGCCAGCACCAGUUUUUUGCCAUAAAGACCGCCCAGCAGGCUGAGCCUCUUGUCAUUGACCUGAAGGAUCUCUUCCAGUUAAUUUUCAAUAUGAAGAAGAAAGAGGCAGAGGGCACAAAGAAGGAUGAAACGGAUAACAACAAGGUGGUAGAGAAUGGCAGCGAUGCCUUGCUUAGCAUUGAAGGCCAGGAGGAUAACGUGAAAGGUGUGGAACAGCUGGACCUGUUUGGAGACAUGUCGACACCACCGGAUUUGCACUCUCCCUCAGAGACUAAAGAUAUCCUAUUGCUGGAUCUAUCCACUGACAUUGACAGCAAUCAGAACUGUGUUAAAGGAAAUCCCUUCACCACUUCCUGUUCCUCUGUCCUUUGGCCCAGGCCUCAGCUCAGCGCCUCGCCUGAAAACCCCUUCUCUUCUCAGCUCAGCUUCUUUCCCGCUCCCAUUCCUGACCCUUUUAGUGAUGAUCCCUUCACCAAAAGCAGCCAGUCCGCACUCUCCAGCUCUGUAAUCGGCUCCCUCGACCUCAACCAGGAGAGCGCUAAUCACCUCCUUAGCGGGGCCAAGGCGAACGGCGGUCAGAAUGGAGACUCUGACCUCUUUGGUCAGCAGUUUGAUCAGAUAUCCAAUAGGACUGUGGCGCAGGCUCUGACUAACGGCCAGUGGUUGCCGGAGGGUAGCUCAGUGGAGUCGGCCCCCUGGACUCAGAACAGCGUCCCCGCGACGGAGCAAAAUGGCAUACAUUGCAAAGCCCCCCAGAACCCCUUUUUCGAAGCCUUGGCAAAGAGCAGCCCACCUUUGCAAAACGGGGCAGCGCAUGAGCUGGCGGGCAAGCCCGAGGCCUCCACCCCCCCAGCUAAGGACUCUGUGAUCAUUAGCCCUCCCCCACUCAACACAAAGGCUGGACGAGGACGGAGGAGCGUGAAGUCACCAACAAAUGACCUUUUUGGAGCAGACCUGUUUGCUCCACCCAGCCAGUCAGAAGCUCCGCCUCCAUCUCAGACUGACGGUCUGCAGUCCAACGCAAUCGAUCUCUUCAGCAGUGGCCCAACCAACACUGCCAACCCCGUGCCAGGUCUCGGUGCCCUGCAGCUGGGACAGCCCUCAGCCCCCCCUUCCUCCACAGUGUCACCGUGGGGCCCGCCAGCUCCCGCCAUGUUCCCCGUCCGAGGCGGAGUCCCCCAGGUUACAAUGGCAGGUCCCCAGACGAGUCCUUUCCCCCAGCCAUCGGCAUUCGGCGCCCCGCCUGUACCAGCAUGGGGGCCGAUGGCCCCUCCGUUUGGGGCGGCCCCCACACCCCAGCCCCCAGCCUGGGGUCAGUCGGCCACCCCGGCGCCCCUUGGAGCCUGGCCCCAGCCCGCCGCCCGUACCAACCCCUUCCAGCCUGGUGUGUUCCCUGGACCCAUGAUGCAGCAGCCCACUAGCCCCCCGCCUCAGCCCCCGCCCCGGCCGGCCCCCCUGAAGGAGCCCCCCAGGGUGGAGAACAAUGCCUUCACCGCCCUUGACCCCCUGGGGGACAAGGAGAAGAAGACCGGGAAGGACAUGUUCAAAGACUUCCAGCUAGCCAAGCCGCCUGCUGUCCCGGCCAGGAAGGGGGAGCAGACAACGCCUCCCAGCGGCAGCAGCGGGGCCUUCAACCAGUACUUCUCCAGCAAAGUGGGGGUCGCUCAGGACGUGGCCGAUCACGAUGACUUCGACAUAAAUCAGAUAUCAACCCAAAUCAAUGAGCCACCCAAACCUGCGCCCAGGCAGUCCACCCCUGUUACUGCUACCCUGGCCCCUGCCCCUGCCCCUGCCCCUGCCCUGGCUCCAGCACUGACCCUGGCUCCGGCCCUGGCCCCUGCCCAGAGCCUGUUUGAUGAUGCCUUUGGGGUGGAUCCCUUUGGAGCUCCCCCUGCCACAAGCCCUCAGCCUGCCCCACUCCCCGCUGCUGCGGACGCCUUUGGUGACCCCUUCGGCAACCCCUUCGCCUGAGCACUGCCCUCCCUCCUGCCAUUGCCACGGAUUCCCAUGUGAGUGUUCCCAGCACGGAAGGCUUUGUUGUGAUCCAGAGUUUACCUUUGAAGGACUGCCGCAGCACAGGUGCUGCAGCCUCCCCCAGAUGGUUCUGACACGCCAUGCCACCUCGAGAUUCCCUACUCACCUGUCACUCAUGCAGCGUCAUUCCAGUUGUCCCUCAGCCACUCUUUUUCCACAGACAAUCAAUGACCUUUUUAGUUUAGUUACCAGGCAGUGCAUUCCCUGACUCUGUGCAGAAGGGGAAGCGUACCCUGGCCCAGUCACCAAGACCCCGGGCAUCGCUGGAUACACGGACCCACACGCACAUGCAUGUAAAACAUCAGCCCAGGGGGAAGUGUGUGAUAUUAAAGAGAAGGAAAUGAACCCCUCUGAGUGUGCUUUGUUUGAACCCACCUCCACCUGCUCUGUGUCUGCACCACCAGCUCUUGCUCUUCACAGGGGACAGUGUGCCACUUCGAGAGGGUCACAGAGUGACAUGUAGUGUUGAUAGCACUUUCCCAACAGUCUGCACUCAUCUCCUUCCUAUGCAGGUUCAAGAAAGCUCCAUAAAGCUCCAUUUACACACUGCAGUACAAGGCACAGUGCUCAUCACACCUACUCCAAGCCAGGGAAGUGACAGUGCUGUUUUGCAGUACUGAACCAAUUGUGCCACCAUUCCUUAAAGCCCUUACAUUUUUUGAGAGUGGUCCUGGUACAAUCCAACUUUGUCUUUAAUUGUCUCCUUGCUUCUGCUCUUUUUAUGCUUAGUACACUGCUCUCUGUUGUCAUUUUAUUUAGCGCACGUAGUAGUGGGUCAAGCAUGCAGUCCCCAAAAUCACCUUCUCUCUUCACUGGACUGGAAACAUCAUAAACAUCACUCCUAUGCUAUUGUCAGCUCUGUAUGCAGUCCUUGUUUCUGUCCUGUUGAUCCAGAACAAACAUGGCUUUAAAACGCUUCUAUUCCAAAUCAUCUCAGGAUAUUGUGUAGUUCUGGACUCGAGUCUGUGCUUUAAGAAAAUGCAGCCGUUUAUUAACGCCAGACCAUGAGGAAUGUUGAAGUUUUGCCAUAGUGUUUUUCCCUUGAAUGAUCAGUGUUGUAUCUCUUAAAUUAAACAAAUGUACUUCAUGUAAUUCCAUAAAUGAGAAAUAUGACCGAUCAAUGCCCAGCCUUAGUUGUAGGACACACACACACACACACACACACGUGCGCGCGUGCACAAAAAAGAAAAAAAAAACAUACUGGAAAUUGAGCCUUUUCCAAAUUUUUUCUAUGUUAAUGAGUGCGUCUAAGUCUAUGUUUGUUGGUGUGUAUGUGUGUGUAUGUCUGUAUAUAUAUAUGUAAAAAAUAUAUAUUCUAUGUUGUGCACUACCCCUUUCUCCUGGAUGU